UGAGACCGGCGCACGGGUGCGUAACGCGUAUGCAAUCUACCUUUCACAAAGGGAUAGCCCAGAGAAAUUUGGAUUAAUACCUUAUAGUAAUACGACUUGGCAUCAAGAUGUAUUUAAAGAUUUAUCGGUGAAAGAUGAGCAUGCGUCCCAUUAGCUAGUUGGUAUGGUAACGGCAUACCAAGGCUACGAUGGGUAGGGGUCCUGAGAGGGAGAUCCCCCACACUGGUACUGAGACACGGACCAGACUCCUACGGGAGGCAGCAGUGAGGAAUAUUGGACAAUGGGCGCAAGCCUGAUCCAGCCAUGCCGCGUGCAGGAUGACGGUCCUAUGGAUUGUAAACUGCUUUUAUACAGGAAGAAACACCUCUACGUGUAGAGACUUGACGGUACUGUAAGAAUAAGGAUCGGCUAACUCCGUGCCAGCAGCCGCGGUAAUACGGAGGAUCCAAGCGUUAUCCGGAAUCAUUGGGUUUAAAGGGUCCGUAGGCGGUCAGAUAAGUCAGUGGUGAAAGCCCAUCGCUCAACGGUGGAACGGCCAUUGAUACUGUCUGACUUGAAUUAUUAGGAAGUAACUAGAAUAUGUAGUGUAGCGGUGAAAUGCUUAGAGAUUACAUGGAAUACCAAUUGCGAAGGCAGGUUACUACUAAUAUAUUGACGCUGAUGGACGAAAGCGUGGGUAGCGAACAGGAUUAGAUACCCUGGUAGUCCACGCCGUAAACGAUGGAUACUAGCUGUUGGGAGCAAUCUCAG
RNAcentral lists this ribosomal RNA (750 nucleotides) under Flavobacterium sp. BACT-28. RNAcentral describes it as "bacterial SSU rRNA". It matches the Rfam family "Bacterial small subunit ribosomal RNA", at positions 90 to 843 of the family's 1533-position model. The record is from RNAcentral. Lineage: Bacteria; Pseudomonadati; Bacteroidota; Flavobacteriia; Flavobacteriales; Flavobacteriaceae.